ACGCUCGACACCUACGGGCAGCAGUCGGGAAUAUUGCGCAAUGGAGGAAACUCUGACGCAGUGACGCCGCGUAUAGGAAGAAGGUUUUCGGAUUGUAAACUAUUGUCGUUAGGGAAGAAAAAAGACAGUACCUAAGGAGGAAGCUCCGGCUAACUACGUGCCAGCAGCUGCGGUAAUCUGAGCGGGCUGGCAAGGC
Molecule: ribosomal RNA, 196 nt
Filed under: uncultured bacterium
Lineage: Bacteria
Description: partial 16S ribosomal RNA
Rfam family: Bacterial small subunit ribosomal RNA
Source: RNAcentral